Schistocerca cancellata (South American locust) is the source of this 302-nucleotide long non-coding RNA. RefSeq lists it as uncharacterized. The transcript is spliced from 3 exons. NCBI's taxonomy places the organism in Eukaryota, Metazoa, Arthropoda, Insecta, Orthoptera, Acrididae. The record is from RefSeq and is a predicted model, not a curated record.
CUGCGAUUUCUGUGAUUCCUGCGACUUACCACCGUAUGAAAAAGUUACAUCUGUCAACACAGAAAAUUGCAUCUCAACAAACCUGUCAUUGGCAAGUACCUGAACUACAUUUCAGUCACUCAGUAAAGUGAUAACUCAAAAUAUCAUUGUCAACAGAUCUGAAGAAAUUGCCACAGCGUCUUUAGACCGUUUUCGUCAGACGAGAGACACAGUUCUGACUCUGAUUACUGGUUGCUGUACAUAUCUAUCCACAUCAAGGAUGUUUUUGAGAGAGACUCUUGAAGAUUCAAGACAGCUCUUAG